Non-coding RNA from Sorex fumeus (smoky shrew), 534 nucleotides. The record is from the annotation of a RefSeq genome assembly. Lineage: Eukaryota; Metazoa; Chordata; Mammalia; Eulipotyphla; Soricidae.
AUGGACUGGACCUGGAGAAUUCUCUUCCUGGUGGCAGUGGCUGCAGGUGUGAACCCCCAGGUACAGCUGGUGCAGUCGGGGCCUGAGGUGGGAAAACCUGGGACAUCAGUGAAGAUCUCCUGCAAGGCGUCCGGAUACACCUUCACCGACCACGGGAUGCACUGGAUGCUGCAAGCCCCGGGACAAGGGCUCGAGUGGAUGGGAUGGCUAAACACUAAAAGUGGUGGUACAGGCUAUGCACAGAAGUUCCAGGGCAGACUCACCUUCACUGUAGACAAGUCCAAGAACACAGCCUACAUGGAAUUGAGCAGGCUGAGCACUGAGGACACGGCUGUGUAUUACUGUGCGAGAGACACAGUAAUGGGGCUCACAGGGUCAGGCUUCAUCUGCGGGAAAGGCUCAGGAUCUCUCUCUCUGUCCUUCGGCAAUAGCCAACAGGAAGAUGUCUUCUCUCUAGAACAUUUGGAAACCUCUGUAGCAUUUGGAUGGUUUUGUAGUCUCAUGGUUGUAUGCAAUGGGGAAUUCCAGAAAUAA